AAACCAACAGGGAUUGCCCCAGUAACGGCGAGUGAAGCGGCAACAGCUCAAAUUUGAAAUCUGGCCCUCGGGUCCGAGUUGUAAUUUGUAGAGGAUGCUUUUGGCGCGGUGCCUUCCGAGUUCCCUGGAACGGGACGCCUUAGAGGGUGAGAGCCCCGUACGGUUGGACACCAAGCCUCUGUAAAGCUCCUUCGACGAGUCGAGUAGUUUGGGAAUGCUGCUCUAAAUGGGAGGUAAAUUUCUUCUAAAGCUAAAUAUUGGCCAGAGACCGAUAGCGCACAAGUAGAGUGAUCGAAAGAUGAAAAGCACUUUGAAAAGAGGGUUAAAUAGCACGUGAAAUUGUUGAAAGGGAAGCGUUUGCGACCAGACCUUUUCCUAGCGGAUCAUCCGGUGUUCUCACCGGUGCACUUCGCUAGGUCGAGGCCAGCAUCGGUUUUCGUAGGGGGAUAAAAGCCCUGGGAACGUAGCUCCUCCGGGAGUGUUAUAGCCCUCUGCAUAAUACCCUUACGGGGACCGAGGACCGCGCUUUUAGCAAGGAUGCUGGCGUAAUGGUCGUCAACGAC
This 563-nucleotide ribosomal RNA is filed under the name Xylariaceae sp. BCC 18902. Its description in RNAcentral is "eukaryotic LSU rRNA". It matches the Rfam family "Eukaryotic large subunit ribosomal RNA", at positions 62 to 648 of the family's 3401-position model. The record is from RNAcentral. RNAcentral also lists the same sequence under 1 other name. Lineage: Eukaryota; Fungi; Ascomycota; Sordariomycetes; Xylariales; Xylariaceae.